GGGGAUGGCUCAUUCAAAUUUCUUCCCUAUCAACUUUCGAUGUUUGGGUAUUGGCCAAACAUGGUGGCAACGGGUAACGGAGGGUUAGGGCUCGACCCCGGAGAAGGAGCCUGAGAAACGGCUACUACAUCCAAGGAAGGCAGCAGGCGCGCAAAUUACCCAAUCCCGACACGGGGAGGUAGUGACAAUAAAUACUGAUACAGGGCUCUUUUGGGUCUUGUAAUCGGAAUGAGUACAAUUUAAAUCCCUUAACGAGGAACAAUUGGAGGGCAAGUCUGGUGCCAGCAGCCGCGGUAAUUCCAGCUCCAAUAGCGUAUAUUAAAGUUGUUGUGGUUAAAAAGCUCGUAGUUGAACCUUGGGCCUGGCUGGCCGGUCCGCCUCACCGCGUGCACUGGUCCGGCCGGGCCUUUCCCUCUGCGGAACCCCAUGCCCUUCACUGGGUGUGGCGGGGAAACAGGACUUUUACUUUGAAAAAAUUAGAGUGCUCAAGGCAGGCCUAUGCUCGAAUACAUUAGCAUGGAAUAAUAGAAUAGGACGUGUGGUUCUAUUUUGUUGGUUUCUAGGACCGCCGUAAUGAUUAAUAGGGACAGUCGGGGGCAUCAGUAUUCAAUUGUCAAAGGUGAAAAUUCUUGGAUUUAUUGAAGACUAACUACUGCGAAAGCAUUUGCCAAGGAUGUUUUCAUUAAUCAC
This 690-nucleotide ribosomal RNA is filed under the name Trichoderma cf. reesei 482/LP1. RNAcentral describes it as "SSU rRNA". It matches the Rfam family "Eukaryotic small subunit ribosomal RNA", at positions 286 to 980 of the family's 1831-position model. Lineage: Eukaryota; Fungi; Ascomycota; Sordariomycetes; Hypocreales; Hypocreaceae. The record is from RNAcentral.